Molecule: non-coding RNA, 71 nt
Organism: Podarcis lilfordi (Lilford's wall lizard)
Lineage: Eukaryota; Metazoa; Chordata; Lepidosauria; Squamata; Lacertidae
Source: the annotation of a GenBank genome assembly
GGGCUAUAGCUCAUUGGUAGAGCAUCUGCCUUGCAUGCAAAAGGUCCCAGGUUCAAUCCUGGGCAUCUCCA